UGUUCCCAGGACGCGAGCUAAGUCUGCCCGGCCGGCGCGCGCCGCUUCCGCUUUGGUGGGAAGGACCUCCCUUCCCCCUUAUAGAAACACUUUCUCCAGGCCGGGCCGGGCUUGGUAAACCUCAGCCGUGCCUGGGUAGAGGACGCCGGGCUGGGCCGAGCGGGGGUGGAAUGAGGGCGUCUAGAACAGAGAAAACUAAGAUGGGGUCGUCCCCCCAGUAAUCUGGAAAACAGUUACAGCAACAGGCUCCUCUCAUCAGACGGCAGUGCUGGUCGUUUCCUCACUGGUUUGCGGGGAAGGCUGGGCAGAAAAAGGAUGCAACCUUGUUCUCAACCACUUGCUAUCUCGUGAUUCAGGGAUUGGAUGAGUCUCUAUGGUUUGUUUUGCCCUGAAGAGCAGAAGGCUUCUGUCCCA
Molecule: long non-coding RNA, 414 nt
Filed under: Homo sapiens (human)
Lineage: Eukaryota; Metazoa; Chordata; Mammalia; Primates; Hominidae
Description: HSALNT0188794
Source: RNAcentral